GCAGGCUUAACACAUGCAAGUCGAGCGGGCGUAGCAAUACGUCAGCGGCAGACGGGUGAGUAACGCGUGGGAACGUACCUUUUGGUUCGGAACAACACAGGGAAACUUGUGCUAAUACCGGAUAAGCCCUUACGGGGAAAGAUUUAUCGCCGAAAGAUCGGCCCGCGUCUGAUUAGCUAGUUGGUGAGGUAACGGCUCACCAAGGCGACGAUCAGUAGCUGGUCUGAGAGGAUGAUCAGCCACAUUGGGACUGAGACACGGCCCAAACUCCUACGGGAGGCAGCAGUGGGGAAUAUUGGACAAUGGGCGCAAGCCUGAUCCAGCCAUGCCGCGUGAGUGAUGAAGGCCCUAGGGUUGUAAAGCUCUUUUGUGCGGGAAGAUAAUGACGGUACCNCAAGAAUA
Molecule: ribosomal RNA, 402 nt
Filed under: bacterium Ellin5108
Lineage: Bacteria; Pseudomonadati; Pseudomonadota; Alphaproteobacteria; Hyphomicrobiales; Nitrobacteraceae
Description: bacterial SSU rRNA
Rfam family: Bacterial small subunit ribosomal RNA
Source: RNAcentral